This 440-nucleotide ribosomal RNA is filed under the name uncultured bacterium. Its description in RNAcentral is "partial 16S ribosomal RNA". It matches the Rfam family "Bacterial small subunit ribosomal RNA", at positions 338 to 795 of the family's 1533-position model. The record is from RNAcentral.
CCUACGGGUGGCAGCAGUGGGGAAUAUUGGACAAUGGGGGAAACCCUGAUCCAGCGACGCCGCGUGAGUGAAUAAGUAUUUCGGUACGUAAAGCUCUAUCAGCAGGAAAGAAAAUGACGGUACCUGACUAAGAAGCCCCGGCUAACUACGGGCCAGCAGCCGCGGUAAUACGUAGGGGGCAAGCUGUAUCGGGAUUUACUGGGGGUAAAGGGAGCGUAGACGACAGCGCAAGUCAGGAGGUAAAUGCCGGGGCCCAACCCCGGAACUGCUCUGGAAACUGUGAAGCUGGAGUGCAGGAGAGGUAAGCGGAAGUCCUGGUGUAGCGGUGAAAUGCGUAGAUAUCAGGAGGAACACCGGCGGCGAAGGCGGCUUACUGGACUGUAACUGACGUUGAGGCUCGAAGGCGUGGGGAGCAAACAGGAUUAGAUACCCUUGUAGUC